CCCUUCUGAAACGAAGAAAGAAUGAAGAACUUCCUGUGUUUACUCCCCCAAGGCAAACAUUGGAGGCUUUGCUUGAAUCAGGCUAUUCUCUCAUCAAAGAACAACAGCUGAUAAUGGAGAAUAAACUUUCAAAGGAAUACAUGAAGAACAUUGACGACUAGAAAAGAGUAUGCCUUUGCACUCAAUUUUGCAUGCUACCCAGUGAAUUCUUUAAUUAUUCGAUGUCUGGAAGAGAGAGAAAAACUGAAAGAUUUAAAUCAAAUGAAGAAAAUUAGUUGUAAUAAUUAGAGAAAUUAUUUGCAAGUAGAAAAGAACUUGGGCGCUGAGCAUGAUUUCACUUUCCUUGGUCUCUAGGUCUGC
Molecule: unclassified non-coding RNA, 360 nt
Filed under: Hevea brasiliensis (rubber tree)
Lineage: Eukaryota; Viridiplantae; Streptophyta; Magnoliopsida; Malpighiales; Euphorbiaceae
Source: RNAcentral